AUAUAUAGCAUCCACAUAUUCUUCUUUAUUAAUCCACAGCCCUAAUGGGAUAUGUGAGCAGGAUAGCAUCUCCCUGGAGUUACCCUAGCCCGGUCAUGGAUCAAGAACUGACGCCGAUUAUCACCUUCAGAACUGCAGAUUGAAGCUUUAACUGUUUGUUGUGGAUUCUUGGUGACGACGGGAUGAUCGUAACUUGAGUUAAACCUACAGACGGGCCGGCCAUUGCUCAGGGUGGUGUUUUGUUUUGUCCAACAUCCAGGCCGUUCUCUUGCCCAAGAAGACCGAAAAGCCCGCCAAAACAUCUCCCAUCUUCAGGGCCACCAAAUUUAGUUUUGAGAAAAGUAAUUUGCCAAGUGCUAGGCUACAUUUCGUAUAUUUCAAUUUCAUUCUGGUUGUGGCAACGAUAAUGUGCACAAAUUUGCUGAUGCAUCGCGAAAUGGCACUCGUAAAUGAUUUUAUGUUAAUCUUAUCUG
Molecule: long non-coding RNA, 473 nt
Organism: Daphnia pulicaria
Lineage: Eukaryota; Metazoa; Arthropoda; Branchiopoda; Diplostraca; Daphniidae
Exons: 3
Source: RefSeq, a predicted model, not a curated record